Molecule: ribosomal RNA, 480 nt
Filed under: uncultured bacterium
Lineage: Bacteria
Description: bacterial SSU rRNA
Rfam family: Bacterial small subunit ribosomal RNA
Source: RNAcentral
GACGAACGCUGGCGGCGUGCUUAACACAUGCAAGUCGAACGGUGACCCGGAGCUUGCUCCGGUGAUCAGUGGCGAACGGGUGAGUAACACGUGGGCAACCUGCCCCUGACUCCGGGAUAACUGCUCGAAAGAGCAGCUAAUACCAGAUACGACCACUUCGGGCAUCCGAUGGUGGUGGAAAGUUUUUCGGUCAGGGGAUGGGCCCGCGGCCUAUCAGCUUGAUGGUGGGGUAGUGGCCUACCAUGGCGACGACGGGUAGCCGGCCUGAGAGGGCGACCGGCCACACUGGGACUGAGACACGGCCCAGACUCCUACGGGAGGCAGCAGUGGGGAAUAUUGCGCAAUGGGCGAAAACCUGACGCAGCGACGCCGCGUGAGGGAUGACGGCCUUCGGGUUGUAAACCUCUUUCAGCAGGAGGAAAUUAGACGGUACCUGCAGAAGAAGCACCGGCUAACUAACGUGCCAGCAGCCGCGGUAAU